RNAcentral lists this long non-coding RNA (463 nucleotides) under Gallus gallus (chicken). The record is from RNAcentral. Lineage: Eukaryota; Metazoa; Chordata; Aves; Galliformes; Phasianidae.
GUUUUUGACUUGCUCCUGUAUUUAGCACAAGAAGAAAAGGAAGUGGAAGGACUCUCAUUGUCUGAACUGUCACUGGUGCUCAGAUGCCUGUGGCGUUUCAUCCUGACGCAUCAUGCCAGGUCAUGAGGUAGAGGUUUUCGCUUCAUCUGAUGACAUCACAAGCUCCUCCCGCCGCCGGCGAGGCACGGCCCGGCCCGGCCCGGCGCGCCGCCGCCUCUCCGCUCGCCGGCGUGGGCGGCCGCGGCCGUCAGGGCUGGCGCCGACGCUCCCGCCGCGGCGGCUGCCGCCGGUGCUGCUGCCGCUCCCGCUGCGGCUGCUCCUGCUGCCGUCCCGCGCCGGCGCGCAUCGCCCCCGCCCGGGCCCGUGGCCGGCGGCGGCUCCCGCCCUGCGUGCCGGCUGCUCGGCGCGCCGCGGCCGAGCCCGCGCCCGCCCCCACCCCUCCUCCGGCCGCACAAGAGCCCUA